RNAcentral lists this ribosomal RNA (252 nucleotides) under uncultured bacterium. RNAcentral's name for it is "partial 16S ribosomal RNA". It matches the Rfam family "Bacterial small subunit ribosomal RNA", at positions 524 to 776 of the family's 1533-position model. The record is from RNAcentral.
UACGUAGGUCCCGAGCGUUGUCCGGAUUUAUUGGGCGUAAAGCGAGCGCAGGUGGUUUAUUAAGUCUGGUGUAAAAGGCAGUGGCUCAACCAUUGUAUGCAUUGGAAACUGGUAGACUUGAGUGCAGGAGAGGAGAGUGGAAUUCCACGUGUAGCGGUGAAAUGCGUAGAUAUAUGGGGGAACACCGGUGGCGAAAGCGGCUCUCUGGCCUGUAACUGACACUGAGGCUCGAAAGCGUGGGAAGCAAACAGG